CUCCAAUAGCGUAUAUUAAAGUUGUUGCGGUUAAAAAGCUCGUAGUUGGAGUUCUGCCAGGUGACGCUCGUCCGCCAAGUGGUGUGUACAGGGCGUGCAUCUGGCCUUUCAAGGGGAACGUGUCUGCACUCAUUGUGUGGUGCGAGAUCCUUGACUUUUACUUGAGGAAAUAAGAGUGUUCCAGCAGGCUCUCGUCGUGC
Molecule: ribosomal RNA, 200 nt
Filed under: uncultured eukaryote
Lineage: Eukaryota
Description: partial 18S ribosomal RNA
Rfam family: Eukaryotic small subunit ribosomal RNA
Source: RNAcentral